RNAcentral lists this long non-coding RNA (973 nucleotides) under Fukomys damarensis (Damara mole-rat). RNAcentral describes it as "lncRNA (ENSFDAG00000027851.1)". The record is from RNAcentral. Lineage: Eukaryota; Metazoa; Chordata; Mammalia; Rodentia; Bathyergidae.
AAAGAACAAGUUCUCGACAAGUACUUUUCAAGCUUUUCAAACAUGUUCACAAUUGAAAAACUUUUGUAAACAAAAUUUUGUCUGGAGCCUAUUUGUGAAGUUCAUACACAUGGAAACUCUCCAGAAAAAGUAGGCAGAAAGACGUUUUGCAAGCUUGGUCCAUGCUCAUCCCCAGAUCUGGCCCACUCCAGAUCCUCGUCCUGAGGAACCUCUGCAGAUCUUAGUUUCCUUAUACCAGCUCCAUCAGUUGAAUCAAAAUUACAGUGCUGUGAGGACCAAGGUGAUGAAGAUUCUGCAGCCCCUUUUUAAACCGUAAAGUACUGUGACCAUUUUCUCUGCCAAGAUCAUCUUUGGAGAGCAAACACAGGAAGCAAGGAUUGACUGACCAGAAUUAAUCUGUGAUCUUGACCCUCUUUAAGAGUGGGAGUUUCCAAAACUGCAAUGUGAUUAUGAGUCAAAAAAGUGCUUAAGUUUAAAUGCUUCUUUUCACAUAUUCGCCAUUACCAUUUGUUCUCCAUAAAGGCAAAGUAGAUGAGGCGUGCCCAAGAGAAGAGGGCCGUGAGCUCAGAAGAACUUGUUUAUUCUUUGAAAAGUAUACCUUGAACAUGUUGACACAGUUUAAACACCAACUCCUCACUGUAAUAGAGGAAAUAAAACUUAUGGGAUUUUUCCUUACAGUGAGGACCACCCAGCCCCAUGGAGAACUCACUGCUCUCCCACCUCCAGCACUGUGUGCCUUCACUGGAGCAGACCUGUGAGGACAACCCAGCUUCAGGAGCACCUCUGCAUCAUCUUCCCCACACACACUCUCUCUUGGGACUCCUGGUUUUACUGGUACCUGGACCCACACUGCAGAGACACAAGUGCUCAUAAAGGCCAUUUUACUGAGCUCUGAAAGAUAGAACAGAAGUGAACAAUUGCCAUAAAAGUGCAUCAGACCUCCAUAGUUGGAGAGUUGGAGAGAUCACCACCU